This 224-nucleotide non-coding RNA is filed under the name Desulfovibrio sp. The record is from RNAcentral. Lineage: Bacteria; Pseudomonadati; Thermodesulfobacteriota; Desulfovibrionia; Desulfovibrionales; Desulfovibrionaceae.
AUAUAGUCCGGCUGCGUCGGUGUUCGCUCCUCCGGCCGGCCGGAGGAGCGAACCGCAAGAAGAGAAUCCGGUGCGAUUCCGGAACUGCCCCGCAGCGGUGAGCGAAAACGACCCCCGCCAUCACGCGCCGGACACGUGUCCGGGAAGCGGCGGGCACUAGGAAACCGGCCAUACCCGGCCGCCUGUUCGCCAGUCCGAAGACCUGCCGACGCCGUCCGCGCCGA